Molecule: small nuclear RNA, 130 nt
Filed under: Pseudocohnilembus persalinus
Lineage: Eukaryota; Ciliophora; Oligohymenophorea; Philasterida; Pseudocohnilembidae
Description: U4 spliceosomal RNA
Rfam family: U4 spliceosomal RNA
About the family: U4 small nuclear RNA (U4 snRNA) is a component of the major U2-dependent spliceosome. The structure of U4 snRNA from yeast and human has been reported. U4 snRNA presents a k-turn RNA motif in the 5p-SL related to recognition of Snu13 protein.
Source: Rfam by way of RNAcentral
ACCUUGAAACAGGGAAAUUAUCGCAUCAAGUGACGUACCAACGGAUGAGCGAUGAUUGCUAGUUGAAAACUACUUCAAUAUGUGGAUAGGACCUUUGGGUCCGAUCCCAAUUUCUGGAGGCCUUAGGGCC